Molecule: ribosomal RNA, 317 nt
Filed under: uncultured bacterium
Lineage: Bacteria
Description: bacterial SSU rRNA
Rfam family: Bacterial small subunit ribosomal RNA
Source: RNAcentral
GAUGAACGCUAGCUACAGGCUUAACACAUGCAAGUCGCGGGGCAGCAUGACAUCAGCUUGCUGAUGUUGAUGGCGACCGGCGCACGGGUGAGUAACGCGUAUCCAACCUGCCCUUUACUAUGGGACAGCCCGUCGAAAGGCGGAUUAAUACCGUAUGUUGUCAUGUUGAUGCAUAUUUUCAUGACCAAAGGCUUCGGCCGGUAAAGGAUGGGGAUGCGUCUGAUUAGCUUGCCGGCGGGGUAACGGCCCACCGGGGCGACGAUCAGUAGGGGUUCUGAGAGGAAGGUCCCCCACACUGGUACUGAGACACGGACCAG